Oncorhynchus keta (chum salmon) is the source of this 1884-nucleotide long non-coding RNA. RefSeq lists it as uncharacterized. The transcript has 4 exons. The record is from RefSeq and is a predicted model, not a curated record. Lineage: Eukaryota; Metazoa; Chordata; Actinopteri; Salmoniformes; Salmonidae.
UUGGUUUGAACUUUUAUUCAACCAGGUUUGAGUCUCGUUGAGAUAAAAACAGAGAGAGAUUUGAACCAAGAUGGUCACAUGACAUCAGCCAGACAGACAUCAAUACAACAGUCUGCCAGUAACCAAGAUGUCAGUUGUUUUACAGGGUCAGUCAUAGUAGUAUGAUAGGUGUUGUUUUACAGGGUCAGUCAUAGUAGUAUGAUAGGUGUUGUUUUACAGGGUCAGUCAUAGUAGUAUGAUAGGUGUUGUUUUACAGGGUCAGUCAUAGUAGUGUGAUAGGUGUUGUUUUACAGGGUCAGUCAUAGUAGUGUGAUAGGUGUUGUUUUACAGGGUCAGACAUAGUAGUAUGAUAGGUGUUGUUUUACAGGGUCAGUCAUAGUAGUAUGAUAGGUGUUGUUUUACAGGGUCAGUCAUAGUAGUAUGAUAGGUGUUGUUUUACAGGGUCAGUCAUAGUAGUAUGAUAGGUGUUGUUUUACAGGGUCAGUCAUAGUAGUAUGAUAGGUGUUGUUUUACAGGGUCAGUCAUAGUAGUAUGAUAGGUGUUGUUUUACAGGGUCAGUAGUAUGAUAGGUGUUGUUUUACAGGGUCAGUCAUAGUAGUAUGAUAGGUGUUGUUUUACAGGGUCAGUCAUAGUAGUAUGAUAGGUGUUGUUUUACAGGGUCAGUAUAGUAGUAUGAUAGGUGUUGUUUUACAGGGUCAGUCAUAGUAGUAUGAUAGGUGUUGUUUUACAGGGUCAGUCAUAGUAGUAUGAUAGGUGUUGUUUUACAGGGUCAGUCAUAGUAGUAUGAUAGGUGUUGUUUUACAGGGUCAGUCAUAGUAGUAUGAUAGGUGUUGUUUUACAGGGUCAGUCAUAGCAGUAUGAUAGGUGUUGUUUUACAGGGUCAGUAGUAUGAUAGGUGUUGUUUUACAGUCAUAGUAGUGUGAUCGGUCCAGUGUAAUGUGUUGAAAGGUUACAUGCCUUUCUCAGAGGCCCAUGGACAUAUUUUUCACUUUGUUGUCUCUGGGAUUUGAACCAGUGACCUCUGUCUCAAACCACUAGGCUACCUGCCACCCUAGAGCAUCAGUAGGGCGUGCAAUAAAUCACAGGCCCAUUACAGUAUCCGAACGAGCAAGUACGCAUCACGCUUACCAUGGCAACGCGGACUAGUGACAUCAGGUGACACCCACAAACUACUACAUCUCAACAACCUGUUCGUCUGUAGGUGGUUUAAACUCCUAGUGACCCCCGGUCCUGGUGCUUUAGGUUGGCUUGGAGGGAAUUCCAAGACCCGAUCAACUACCUCAACUGGUCAGCGUUGGGGUCGGCUUCCUCAACUGGUCAGCGUUGGGGUCGGCUUCCUCAACUGGUCAGCGUUGGGGUCGGCUUCCUCAACUGGUCAGCGUUGGGGUCGGCUUCCUCAACUGGUCAGCGUUGGGGUCGGCUUCCUCAACUGGUCAGCGUUGGGGUCGGCUUCCUCAACUGGUCAGCGUUGGGGUCGGCUUCCUCAACAGGUCAGCGUUGGGGUCGGCUUCCUCAACUGGUCAGCGUUGGGGUCGGCUUCCUCAACUGGUCAGCGUUGGGGUCGGCUUCCUCAACUGGUCAGCGUUGGGGUCGGCUUCCUCAACUGGUCAGCGUUGGGGUCGGCUUCCUCAACUGGUCAGCGUUGGGGUCGGCUUCCUCAACUGGUCAGCGUUGGGGUCGGCUUCCUCAACUGGUCAGCGUUGGGGUCGGCUUCCUCAACUGGUCAGCGUUGGGGUCGGCUUCCUCAACUGGUCAGCGUUGGGGUCGGCUUCCUCAACUGGUCAGCGUUGGGGUCGGCUAAUGAGAGACUGGACAGGAUGCCAACCUUACUGUCAGGUGGCUGUUGGUCCAUCUGGCUGUGUGCACCUUGUAUCGUGACUGGAA